Molecule: long non-coding RNA, 447 nt
Filed under: Sorghum bicolor (sorghum)
Lineage: Eukaryota; Viridiplantae; Streptophyta; Magnoliopsida; Poales; Poaceae
Description: long non-coding RNA (SBIC_LNC012000)
Source: RNAcentral
GGAGGUUAUCCAGAGUAUCGUAUUUAUUUUUUACCACUAGGAGAAAGAGUGCAUCUGACUAACCGGUCUAUUACUACUAACCUUUAGGCACAAAGAAUGUCUUUCGAUGUGAGUGAUAAAUAGAGAAGACUGCAACCGUAGUCUCCUUCUAACCUUGGUAAGGAUAAUCUAUUGUUCUAAUGGGGAGGCUAACGGCAUCUAGACACCACAAAGGAUGUUCAACCCGCACCUAUAAACCCUAUCCUUCCUGCUAAUGAGAUGUGAUCUACAAAGGUAGCUCGGAAUUGUCACGUUCCUCACUACUACCACGGUCCAGCUAGUCAGGGAAUAUCUAUGAGUACCCCAGCCUAAACACCACGUUUACGCCAGCAAUGAUUACUCUAAACUCUACGCGAAGAGAUUAAAGUAAACUCAUAAACCAUAAGAACAAUAAAAGAAGAACUUACU